This 192-nucleotide non-coding RNA is filed under the name Vibrio hepatarius. The record is from RNAcentral. Lineage: Bacteria; Pseudomonadati; Pseudomonadota; Gammaproteobacteria; Vibrionales; Vibrionaceae.
UUGAGCACAUUUGUAAUUGGUACCGGGAAUCUAGGUGAGAAUCCUAUGAACUGACGUCGCAGCGGUAUUUGAUGACGCAGGCUUUGUAUCACACUGCAAUUCGUUUUUGUGGGAAGUGAAAGUCAGCGGUGAAUGGAAAAUAUUCCUUUCAGAUUCAUAAGUCCGAAGACCGACCAUUUUUAUUUUAAACGC